This 401-nucleotide ribosomal RNA is filed under the name Alphaproteobacteria bacterium. RNAcentral's name for it is "bacterial SSU rRNA". It matches the Rfam family "Bacterial small subunit ribosomal RNA", at positions 61 to 493 of the family's 1533-position model. Lineage: Bacteria; Pseudomonadati; Pseudomonadota; Alphaproteobacteria. The record is from RNAcentral.
GUCGAGCGCUGUAGCAAUACAGAGCGGCAGACGGGUGAGUAACGCGUGGGAAUCUACCCAACCCUACGGAAUAACGCAUGGAAACGUGUGCUAAUACCGUAUACGCCCCUCUUUGGUGGACAUUGGGGGGGAAAGAUUUAUCGGGGGUGGAUGAGCCCGCGUUGGAUUAGCUAGUUGGUGGGGUAAAGGCCUACCAAGGCGACGAUCCAUAGCUGGUCUGAGAGGAUGAUCAGCCACAUUGGGACUGAGACACGGCCCAAACUCCUACGGGAGGCAGCAGUGGGGAAUAUUGGACAAUGGGCGCAAGCCUGAUCCAGCCAUGCCGCGUGAGUGAUGAAGGCCCUAGGGUUGUAAAGCUCUUUCACCGGUGAAGAUAAUGACGGUAACCGGAGAAGAAGCCC